Molecule: ribosomal RNA, 972 nt
Filed under: human gut metagenome
Description: bacterial LSU rRNA
Rfam family: Bacterial large subunit ribosomal RNA
Source: RNAcentral
AAGGUAGCGAAAUUCCUUGUCGGGUAAGUUCCGACCUGCACGAAUGGCGUAACGAUCUCCACACUGUCUCGGCCAGAGACUCGGUGAAAUUGCAGUCGCGGUGAAAAUUCCGUGUACCCGCAGAAAGACGGAAAGACCCUGUGCACCUUUACUAUAGCUUGACAUUGGAUUUUGGGCCUGCAUGUGUAGGAUAGGUGGGAGGCUGUGAACCCUGUACGCCAGUAUGGGGGGAGCCAUCCUUGAAAUACCACCCUUGCAUGUUUAAGAUCCUAACUUCUUCCGGUUAUCCCGGAGAAAGACAGUGUCUGGCGGGUAGUUUGACUGGGGCGGUCGCCUCCUAAAGUGUAACGGAGGCAUGCAAAGGUUCCCUCAGCCUGAUCGGAAACCAGGCGCUGAGUGCAAACGCAUAAGGGAGCUUGACUGUAAGAGAGACAUCUCGAACAGGAACGAAAGUUGGCGUUAGUGAUCCGGUGGUCCCGAAUGGAAGGGCCAUCGCUCAUUGGAUAAAAGGUACGCCGGGGAUAACAGGCUGAUCGCAUCCAAGAGUUCACAUCGACGAUGCGGUUUGGCACCUCGAUGUCGGCUCAUCACAUCCUGGGGCUGAAGUAGGUCCCAAGGGUUCGGCUGUUCGCCGAUUAAAGUGGUACGCGAGCUGGGUUUAAAACGUCGUGAGACAGUUUGGUCCCUAUCUUCUGUGGGCGAAGGAGAAUUGAGAGGGCCUGUCCCUAGUACGAGAGGACCGGGAUGGACGCACCCCUGGUGAUCCUGUUGUCGCGCCAGCGGCAUAGCAGGGUAGCUAUGUGCGGAAGGGAUAACCGCUGAAAGCAUCUAAGCGGGAAGCCUGCCUCAAGAUAAGUUCUCCCCUCGAAAGAGCUGAAGGGCCCGGGUAGACUACCCGGUCGAUAGGCUGGAGGUGUAAGCGCGGCGACGUGCUCAGCUGACCAGUACUAAUAGCCCGAGCGGCUUAUUUUU